RNAcentral lists this unclassified non-coding RNA (211 nucleotides) under Hyaloscypha sp. RNAcentral's name for it is "partial contains internal transcribed spacer 1". Lineage: Eukaryota; Fungi; Ascomycota; Leotiomycetes; Helotiales; Hyaloscyphaceae. The record is from RNAcentral.
AAGUGGUAACCUGCGGAAGGAUCAUUACAGAGUUCAUGCCCUCACGGGUAGAUCUCCUACCCUCGAAUACAUACUUUGUUGCUUUGGCGGGCCACGUCCGCGUGUCGGCUUCGGCUGGCUACGCCCGCCAGAGGACCCAAACUCGUUUAUUUAAUGAUAUCCGAGUACUAUAUAAUAGUUAAAACUUUCAAUAACGGGUCUCUUGGUUCUA